Molecule: ribosomal RNA, 442 nt
Filed under: uncultured cyanobacterium
Lineage: Bacteria; Bacillati; Cyanobacteriota
Description: bacterial SSU rRNA
Rfam family: Bacterial small subunit ribosomal RNA
Source: RNAcentral
AGAGUUUGAUCCUGGCUCAGGAUGAACGCUGGCGGUCUGCUUAACACAUGCAAGUCGAACGGAAGUAGCAAUACUUUAGUGGCGGACGGGUGAGUAACGCGUGAGAAUCUACCUUCAGGACGGAGACAACAGUUGGAAACGACUGCUAACCCCCGAUGUACCGCAAGGGCAAAUAUUUAUAGCCUGAGGAAGAGCUCGCGUCCGAUUAGCUAGUUGGGGGGGUAAAAGCCCACCAAGGCGACGAUCGGUAGCUGGUCUGAGAGGACGAUCAGCCACACUGGGACUGAGACACGGCCCAGACUCCUACGGGAGGCAGCAGUGGGGAAUUUUCCGCAAUGGGCGCAAGCCUGACGGAGCAAGACCGCGUGGGGGAGGAAGGCUCUUGGGUUGUAAACCCCUUUUCUCUGGGAAGAACAAAAUGACGGUAUCAGAGGAAUCAGCA